This 497-nucleotide ribosomal RNA is filed under the name uncultured bacterium. RNAcentral's name for it is "partial 16S ribosomal RNA". It matches the Rfam family "Bacterial small subunit ribosomal RNA", at positions 28 to 507 of the family's 1533-position model. The record is from RNAcentral.
GAUGAACGCUGGCGGCGUGCCUAAUACAUGCAAGUCGAGCGAACAGAUGAGGAGCUUGCUCCUCUGACGUUAGCGGCGGACGGGUGAGUAACACGUGGAUAACCUACCUAUAAGACUGGGAUAACUUCGGGAAACCGGAGCUAAUACCGGAUAAUAUAUUGAACCGCAUGGUUCAAUAGUGAAAGACGGUUUUGCUGUCACUUAUAGAUGGAUCCGCGCCGCAUUAGCUAGUUAGUAAGGUAACGGCUUACCAAGGCAACGAUGCGUAGCCGACCUGAGAGGGUGAUCGGCCACACUGGAACUGAGACACGGUCCAGACUCCUACGGGAGGCAGCAGUAGGGAAUCUUCCGCAAAGGGCGAAAGCCUGACGGAGCAACGCCGCGUGAGUGAUGAAGGUCUUCGGAUCGUAAAACUCUGUUAUUAGGGAAGAACAAAUGUGUAAGUAACUAUGCACGUCUUGACGGUACCUAAUCAGAAAGCCACGGCUAACUACGUG